UAGGUGGCAAGCGUUAUCCGGAUUUACUGGGUGUAAAGGGCGUGUAGGCGGGAGAGCAAGUCAGAUGUGAAAGCCCGGGGCUCAACCCCGGGACUGCAUUUGAAACUGCCGGACUAGAGUGCCGGAGAGGUAAGUGGAAUUCCUAGUGUAGCGGUGAAAUGCGUAGAUAUUAGGAGGAACACCAGUGGCGAAGGCGGCUUACUGGACGGUAACUGACGUUGAUGCACGAAAGCGUGGGGAGCAAA
RNAcentral lists this ribosomal RNA (245 nucleotides) under uncultured bacterium. Its description in RNAcentral is "partial 16S ribosomal RNA". It matches the Rfam family "Bacterial small subunit ribosomal RNA", at positions 528 to 772 of the family's 1533-position model. The record is from RNAcentral.